GAUUAUCUACCUCUUGGUGGGGAAUAACCUGGGGAAACCUGGGCUAAUACCGCAUAAGUUCGAGAGAGGAAAGGCGCAAGUCGCCGGGAGAGGAGUCCGCGGCUGAUUAGGUAGUUGGCGGGGUAAAAGCCCACCAAGCCAAAGAUCGAUAGCCGGCCUGAGAGGGCACACGGCCACACUGGCAGUGAAACACGGGCCAGACUCUUACGGGAGGCAGCAGUGGGGAAUCUUGCACAAUGGGGGAAACCCUGAUGCAGCGACGCCGCGUGAGCGAUGAAGCC
Molecule: ribosomal RNA, 281 nt
Filed under: Acidobacteria bacterium UCL-064
Lineage: Bacteria; Pseudomonadati; Acidobacteriota
Description: partial 16S ribosomal RNA
Rfam family: Bacterial small subunit ribosomal RNA
Source: RNAcentral